RNAcentral lists this ribosomal RNA (244 nucleotides) under uncultured bacterium. Its description in RNAcentral is "partial small subunit ribosomal RNA". It matches the Rfam family "Bacterial small subunit ribosomal RNA", at positions 26 to 285 of the family's 1533-position model. The record is from RNAcentral.
AGAAUCAACGCUGGCGGCGUGCCUAACACAUGCAAGUCGAACGAGAAAGUGGAGCAAUCCAUGAGUAAAGUGGCGCACGGGUGAGUAACACGUGACUAACCUACCCUUGAGUGGGGGAUAACCUAGAGAAAUCUGGGCUAAUACCGCAUAAUACCUUCGGGUCAAAGGAGCAAUUCGCUUAAGAGGGGGUCGCGGCCGAUUAGUUAGUUGGCGGGGUAAUGGCCCACCAAGACUAUGAUCGGUA